Molecule: ribosomal RNA, 1788 nt
Filed under: Escherichia coli
Lineage: Bacteria; Pseudomonadati; Pseudomonadota; Gammaproteobacteria; Enterobacterales; Enterobacteriaceae
Description: partial 23S ribosomal RNA
Rfam family: Bacterial large subunit ribosomal RNA
Source: RNAcentral
GUACACAAAAAUGCACAUGCUGUGAGCUCGAUGAGUAGGGCGGGACACGUGGUAUCCUGUCUGAAUAUGGGGGGACCAUCCUCCAAGGCUAAAUACUCCUGACUGACCGAUAGUGAACCAGUACCGUGAGGGAAAGGCGAAAAGAACCCCGGCGAGGGGAGUGAAAAAGAACCUGAAACCGUGUACGUACAAGCAGUGGGAGCACGCUUAGGCGUGUGACUGCGUACCUUUUGUAUAAUGGGUCAGCGACUUAUAUUCUGUAGCAAGGUUAACCGAAUAGGGGAGCCGAAGGGAAACCGAGUCUUAACUGGGCGUUAAGUUGCAGGGUAUAGACCCGAAACCCGGUGAUCUAGCCAUGGGCAGGUUGAAGGUUGGGUAACACUAACUGGAGGACCGAACCGACUAAUGUUGAAAAAUUAGCGGAUGACUUGUGGCUGGGGGUGAAAGGCCAAUCAAACCGGGAGAUAGCUGGUUCUCCCCGAAAGCUAUUUAGGUAGCGCCUCGUGAAUUCAUCUCCGGGGGUAGAGCACUGUUUCGGCAAGGGGGUCAUCCCGACUUACCAACCCGAUGCAAACUGCGAAUACCGGAGAAUGUUAUCACGGGAGACACACGGCGGGUGCUAACGUCCGUCGUGAAGAGGGAAACAACCCAGACCGCCAGCUAAGGUCCCAAAGUCAUGGUUAAGUGGGAAACGAUGUGGGAAGGCCCAGACAGCCAGGAUGUUGGCUUAGAAGCAGCCAUCAUUUAAAGAAAGCGUAAUAGCUCACUGGUCGAGUCGGCCUGCGCGGAAGAUGUAACGGGGCUAAACCAUGCACCGAAGCUGCGGCAGCGACGCUGAUGCGUUGUUGGGUAGGGGAGCGUUCUGUAAGCCUGCGAAGGUGUGCUGUGAGGCAUGCUGGAGGUAUCAGAAGUGCGAAUGCUGACAUAAGUAACGAUAAAGCGGGUGAAAAGCCCGCUCGCCGGAAGACCAAGGGUUCCUGUCCAACGUUAAUCGGGGCAGGGUGAGUCGACCCCUAAGGCGAGGCCGAAAGGCGUAGUCGAUGGGAAACAGGUUAAUAUUCCUGUACUUGGUGUUACUGCGAAGGGGGGACGGAGAAGGCUAUGUUGGCCGGGCGACGGUUGUCCCGGUUUAAGCGUGUAGGCUGGUUUUCCAGGCAAAUCCGGAAAAUCAAGGCUGAGGCGUGAUGACGAGGCACUACGGUGCUGAAGCAACAAAUGCCCUGCUUCCAGGAAAAGCCUCUAAGCAUCAGGUAACAUCAAAUCGUACCCCAAACCGACACAGGUGGUCAGGUAGAGAAUACCAAGGCGCUUGAGAGAACUCGGGUGAAGGAACUAGGCAAAAUGGUGCCGUAACUUCGGGAGAAGGCACGCUGAUAUGUAGGUGAAGUCCCUUGCGGAUGGAGCUGAAAUCAGUCGAAGAUACCAGCUGGCUGCAACUGUUUAUUAAAAACACAGCACUGUGCAAACACGAAAGUGGACGUAUACGGUGUGACGCCUGCCCGGUGCCGGAAGGUUAAUUGAUGGGGUCAGCGCAAGCGAAGCUCUUGAUCGAAGCCCCGGUAAACGGCGGCCGUAACUAUAACGGUCCUAAGGUAGCGAAAUUCCUUGUCGGGUAAGUUCCGACCUGCACGAAUGGCGUAAUGAUGGCCAGGCUGUCUCCACCCGAGACUCAGUGAAAUUGAACUCGCUGUGAAGAUGCAGUGUACCCGCGGCAAGACGGAAAGACCCCGUGAACCUUUACUAUAGCUUGACACUGAACAUUGAGCCUUGAUGUGUAGGAUAGGUGGG